This 1795-nucleotide ribosomal RNA is filed under the name Capsicum annuum. RNAcentral describes it as "SSU rRNA". It matches the Rfam family "Eukaryotic small subunit ribosomal RNA". Lineage: Eukaryota; Viridiplantae; Streptophyta; Magnoliopsida; Solanales; Solanaceae. The record is from RNAcentral.
CCUGGUUUAUCCUGCCAGUAGUCAUAUGCUUGUCUCAAAUAUUAAGUCAUGCAUGUGUAAGUAUGAACAAAUUUAGACUGUGAAACUGUGAAUGACUCAUUAAAUCAGUUAUAGUUUGUUUGAUGGUAUCUACUACUCGGAUAACCGUACUAAUUCUAGUGCUAAUACGUGCACCUAACCCCAACUUUUGGAAGGGAUGCAUUUAUUAGAUAAAAGGGCAACGCAGACUCUGCCCGUUGCUGUGAUGAUUCAUGAUAACUCAAAGGAUUGCAUGGCCAUUGUGCCGGUGAUGCAUCAUUCAAAUUUCUGUCCUAUCAAGUUUCAAUAGUAGGAUAGUGGCCUACCAUGGUGGUGACGGGUGGCGGAGAAUUAGGUUUUGAUUUCGGAAAGGGAGCCUGAGAAACGGCUACCACAUCUAAGGAAGGCAGAAGGCGUGCAAAUUACCCAAUCCUGACAUGGGGAGGUAGUGACAAUAAAUAUCAAUAUGGGCUCAAUGAGUCUAGUAAUUUGAAUGAGUACAAUCUAAAUCCCUUAACGAGGAUCCAUUGGAGGAAGAGUCUGGUGCCAGCAACCGCAGUAAUUCCAAAACCAAUAGCAUAUAUUUAAGUUGUUGCAGUUAAAAAUCUCGAAGUUGGACUUUGGGAUUGGCCGGCCGGUCUGCCUAUGGUGUGCAUUGGUCAUCUAAUCCCUUCUGUCCGCGAUGCACUCCUAGCCUUAACUGGAUGGGUCGUGCCUCCGGCGCUGUUACUUUGAAGAAAUUAGAGUGCUUAAAGCAAGCCUACGCUAUGUAUACAUUAGCAUGGGAUAACAAUAUAGGAUUUCGGUCCUAUUACGUUGGCCUUUGGGAUCAGAGUAAUGAUUAACAGGGACAGUCGGGGGCAUUUGUAUUUCAUAGUCUGAGGUGAAAUUAUUGGAUUUAUGAAAUACGAACAACUGUGAAAGCAUUUUCCAAAGAUGUUUUCAUCAAUCAAGAACGAAAGUUGGGGGCUCUAAGGCGGCCAGAUGCCAUCUUAGUCUCAGUCAUAAACGAUGCCGACCAGGGAUCGGCGGAUGUUGCUUUUAGGACACCGCCGGCUCUUUAUGAGAAAUCAAUGUUUUUAGGUUUCGUAGGGAGUAUGGUCGCAAGGCUGAAACUUAAAGGAAUUGAUGUAAAGGCGCCACCAGGAGUAGAGCCUGCGGCUUAAUUUGACUCAACACGGGAAAACUUACCAGGUCCAGACAUAGUAAGGAUUGAAAGACUGAAAACUCUUUCUUGAUUCUAUGGGUGGUGGUGCAUGGCCGUUCUUAGUUGGCGGAGCGAUUUGUCUGGUUAAUUUCGUUACGAUUGAGACCUCAGCCUGCUAACUAGCUAUGCGGAGGUAUCCCUUCGUGGCCAGCUUCUUAGAGGAACUACGACCUUUUAGGCUAUGGAAGUUUGAGGCAAUAAAAGGUCUGUGAUGCCCUUAGAUGUUCUGGGUCGUACGCACGCUUCACUGAUGUAUUAAACGACUAUAUAGCCUUGGCUGACAGGACUGGGUAAUCUUUGAAAUUUCAUCGUGAUGGGGAUAGAUCACUGCAAUUGUUGGCCUUCAACGAGGAAUUCCUAUUAAGCGUGAGUCAUCAGCUCGCGUUGACUACGUCCCUGUCCUUUGUACACACUGCCCUUCGCUCCUAAUGAUUGAAUGAUUCAGUGAAAUGUUCGGAUCGCGGCGACGUGGGCAGUUCGCUGCCACGAUGUCGCAAGAUGUCCAUUGAACCUUAUCAUUUAGAGGAAGAAGAAUUCGUAACAAGGUUUCCAUAGGUGAACCUACGGAAG